Molecule: ribosomal RNA, 497 nt
Filed under: uncultured bacterium
Lineage: Bacteria
Description: partial 16S ribosomal RNA
Rfam family: Bacterial small subunit ribosomal RNA
Source: RNAcentral
GAUGAACGCUGGCGGCGUGCCUAAUACAUGCAAGUCGAGCGAACGGACGAGAAGCUUGCUUCUCUGAUGUUAGCGGCGGACGGGUGAGUAACACGUGGAUAACCUACCUAUAAGACUGGGAUAACUUCGGGAAACCGGAGCUAAUACCGGGUAAUAUUUUGAACCGCAUGGUUCAAAAGUGAAAGACGGUCUUGCUGUCACUUAUAGAUGGAUCCGCGCUGCAUUAACUAGUUGGUAAGGUAACGGCUUACCAAGGCAACGAUGCAUAGCCGACCUGAGAGGGUGAUCGGCCACACUGGAACUGAGACACGGUCCAGACUCCUACGGGAGGCAGCAGUAGGGAAUCUUCCGCAAUGGGCGAAAGCCUGACGGAGCAACGCCGCGUGAGUGAUGAAGGUCUUCGGAUCGUAAAACUCUGUUAUUAGGGAAGAACAUAUGUGUAAGUAACUGUGCACAUCUUGACGGUACCUAAUCAGAAAGCCACGGCUAACUACGUG